This 1531-nucleotide long non-coding RNA is filed under the name Zonotrichia albicollis (white-throated sparrow). RNAcentral's name for it is "lncRNA (ENSZALG00000014972.1)". The record is from RNAcentral. Lineage: Eukaryota; Metazoa; Chordata; Aves; Passeriformes; Passerellidae.
AUGUUUAGGCUGAACCAGAUCCAUGAGCAUCUUCCCAGUUCUGAGCUGGCCCUGCUUGGAAGGCAUUCACCUGGUGCUGAGCUCCAGGAGCGUGUGUGUGGCAGCAUCCCCACGAGCCAGUGCAGCCCAGAGCUCGGAGCCAGGCAGAUGCUCAGUGGGGCUGACACAGAGCACAGCACUGGGUGGAUGCUCCAGGGCUGGAGGCAGCACCGAGGAAGGCAGGAGGAGACAGCGCUGGGAAAUCAGAGGACUGGGAGAAGGCCAUGGGAGGACCAGGCUCACCCGCAUUCCUGCCCUCCCCUCGGUGCAAGGGGCAUCCUUCCCAAACAAUUCAUUUGGGGUCCUUGGAAGCACAGCCCCUGGCACAGCCUCUGGGAUCCCUCAGCAGUCCUCACCCUGCCUACCAACGAAGAGCUCCUUUCUGGGACCCCACUGGGAACAACUGGGAUCAUUAGCAUCAUAGAGCAGCACCUUCCUCUCUCCAGGAAGGACAUGGAGCUCAUCCUCGGGAUUUUUGCUGAAGGACCCUGAGGAGGUCUCACAUAAAUGCCUCCAACCCACCAGAGGAGGGAGUGUGCUAGAUCCACCCGCCGCCAGCCAGACUCAGGAACAACUGCCUUCAGUCCCAAGAACAUUUCAUCUCUUUUCCACGUGCCAGAGUUUUGUAAGCCAAGACAAGCUUCACUUUUAAAAAAAUAAUACUGUGAUACAGUUCUCAAAUAGCAAUGAUGAAUAGGAUAAUCCAAGGAAAACGUUUUCAAGUAAAGAGGUGGGUGCAGCCAGGAGCACCAGGAUCUGGUUUAUUGACUGCCAUCCACAUUAAUUUAUAUCCAUUGCCUUAAGAACAGAUGGAUUAGGAGUAGCCUUUCUGUCAAGGAAUGGCCUUUCCUGCAUGGGAUGAUCAGAAGUUUUCUCAAUCAAAUAUGCUCCUCGCUGAUAAAAUGCUCCUUCUUGUUUAUUUGAGAAAUGCUGAGAGAAAUAGGGUCGGGCAGGGAGGUUACAGACGUACCAGCUCCUGGCCAUGGCUGGGAAGCAGAAGGAAUGUGGAUUUCCUGGAUUUGUCCAUAUUCCAUGCUUUAUCCUGCUCUGGAGAGGCCCAAGAGCUGACACCACAGCUGUGAAAACAUCUCGCUGUCAUUCCAAUCCUCUCCUGAAGUUUUGUAGGAAAGGGGCACAAGUGGGAAUGCAGCACUGGAGUGUUCAGAGUCAUUGAGGGAGAAUGGGGCAGGGCUGGGCUCUUUGGUCACUGUGUAAACCCCAAAGGAGGGGAGCAGGAUUCCACCAGCCUGCCCAGUUUACCCCAGCACUGGGCAGGACUCCAGCCAGCUCCUGGCAGUGCCCAAAUCCCCCUGUGAGCAGGGCACAAGACCUCAGGGGAACACAGGCCCCAAAAUCACCAUCAGCCCCUGGGCUGCCAGUCACAAUUUCUCUUUGCAGAUCCCCUGGAACCAAUUCCUCCCCCAUGGGGUGGCACCACUCCUUCAGCAAGCUCUGAGCACUGAUUUCAGCCCUAAAAAAUAGCAAAUGCAGU